RNAcentral lists this ribosomal RNA (715 nucleotides) under Staphylococcus aureus. RNAcentral's name for it is "bacterial LSU rRNA". It matches the Rfam family "Bacterial large subunit ribosomal RNA", at positions 1 to 712 of the family's 2925-position model. Lineage: Bacteria; Bacillati; Bacillota; Bacilli; Caryophanales; Staphylococcaceae. The record is from RNAcentral.
AGAUUAAGUUAUUAAGGGCGCACGGUGGAUGCCUUGGCACUAGAAGCCGAUGAAGGACGUUACUAACGACGAUAUGCUUUGGGGAGCUGUAAGUAAGCUUUGAUCCAGAGAUUUCCGAAUGGGGAAACCCAGCAUGAGUUAUGUCAUGUUAUCGAUAUGUGAAUACAUAGCAUAUCAGAAGGCACACCCGGAGAACUGAAACAUCUUAGUACCCGGAGGAAGAGAAAGAAAAUUCGAUUCCCUUAGUAGCGGCGAGCGAAACGGGAAGAGCCCAAACCAACAAGCUUGCUUGUUGGGGUUGUAGGACACUCUGUACGGAGUUACAAAGGACGACAUUAGACGAAUCAUCUGGAAAGAUGAAUCAAAGAAGGUAAUAAUCCUGUAGUCGAAAAUGUUGUCUCUCUUGAGUGGAUCCUGAGUACGACGGAGCACGUGAAAUUCCGUCGGAAUCUGGGAGGACCAUCUCCUAAGGCUAAAUACUCUCUAGUGACCGAUAGUGAACCAGUACCGUGAGGGAAAGGUGAAAAGCACCCCGGAAGGGGAGUGAAAUAGAACCUGAAACCGUGUGCUUACAAGUAGUCAGAGCCCGUUAAUGGGUGAUGGCGUGCCUUUUGUAGAAUGAACCGGCGAGUUACGAUUUGAUGCAAGGUUAAGCAGUAAAUGUGGAGCCGUAGCGAAAGCGAGUCUGAAUAGGGCGUUUAGUAUUUGGUCGUAG